Molecule: ribosomal RNA, 1896 nt
Filed under: Triticum aestivum (bread wheat)
Lineage: Eukaryota; Viridiplantae; Streptophyta; Magnoliopsida; Poales; Poaceae
Description: partial small subunit ribosomal RNA
Source: RNAcentral
AUGUCAUGCAAUUUGGAAAUCACAGUUAUACAAAAAACUAGAGGUCAGAGAUGUGUGAACACAUCUAGUUCCAGGCCAUAUACAUCCAGAACUAGGGCUAGUAGUAGAACCCCAAGUGGUCCUAGAACACCAAGUGCUUAUGCAACUGCAACUGUCAAUGAAAGCCAAGAAAACCAAAAGAAGCCACUUGAUCCUGUUGUGGAGGAGGCAUUGCCUGAUGCACCUGGUGUGGAGGAUGAGGUUCUAUAUCCUGGAUAUGUCCAGCACAAUAAUGAUGAAGGAGAUGUAGCAGAUAAAGAGUACGUUCCUGCAGAAUUUUCAGAUGCAGAUGAGGAUGAGAAGCAAGAGGAUGUUGAGAUGGGAGUUUUUGAAGAUGCAGAAGAGGACAGACCUGUAAAGAUGUAUGACAAGGAAAAUCCAUGUAUUGGUGAAGGUGUGGUUUUCCCUAGUGCAGUUGACUGCAGAAAUGCAGUUCCAAUCUUCUCAAUCAAGUCUGAAACUGAGUUCCUUACUCUGAAAAGUGAUCCAACAAGGUUUACUGUCAAAUGUGCUUAUGAGAAAUGCAAGUGGAGACUGCAUGCCUCUUUAAUGAGGAAGAGCACACUAUUUCAGAUUAAAGUCAACCCAUAUCAGCAUACAUGUCCUAGUGUGAAUAGAUCUCAGAGAUUGAGAGCUGCAAAAAGAAGAUGGAUAGCGGAUGCUUCUAUGGCUUGGAUCAAAGCAAAUCUAGGAAUUGGUACAAAGGAAAUUCAGAGCAAGUUGUUAGAGAAAUAUGGUGUGGAGGUGCCGUAUGACAGAUGCUACCAUGGCAAAGAGAUUGCACUUGACAAACUGUAUGGAAAGUAUAGUGAUAGCUUUCAGUUGUUAUAUAGUUUCAAAGCUGAAGUAGAGAGGGCAUCACCAGGCAGUAUUGCGGAAAUUGAGAAGCACACAGUUGAGUACAAGAUGAAUAACAAGAAGUUCUACAAGGAGUGCUUUAGAAGGGUGUUUGUGUGCUUCAAAGCAUGUCAAAAAGGUUUUCUGGAGGGGUGUAGGCCAUACCUAGCUGUAGAUGCUACUGCACUGACUGGUAGGUUCAGAGGGCAACUUGUGGCAGCAUGUGCACUAGAUGGACACAACUGGUUAUUUCCUGUUGCAUAUGGUGUUUUGGAAGGGGAGUCAAUUGAGAGUUGGACUUGGUUUUUUAGCAACCUAAAGAAAGUAAUAGGUCAUCCAGAAGGUUUAGUGAUACAUACUGAUGCUUGCAAGGGAUUGGAAACUGUUGUUGAGGAUGUUUACCCUGGAGUGGAGCACAGAGAGUGCAUGAGGCACUUGGCCCAAAAUUUCAGCAAGAAAUUCAAGGGGAAGUUUUGUGAUGAUAAUUUGUGGCCAUGCUCACUAACUUGUAGCAUCAAGAAACACAACUAUCACUUGAACCAGUUGAAAAGCAAGCCCACAGUAAAGGAAUAUCUAGAGGAACACCACACAAAAACAUGGGCAAGAGCUGAUUUCAAUGAGAUUAGCAAAGUUGACUAUGUCAAUAACAACCUAGCUGAGUCAUUCGACUCCAGAAUCAAAAAAUACAAGAGCCUGCACAUAGUUGAUCUGCUAGACAAGAUUAGGCAGUAUAUCAUGGAGAAGUUGGAGUUAAGAAACAGAUUUGCCUCUGACCAUUUCAUUGGGUACUACAUCAUACCAGCAGUUAUGAAGGUGUUAAUCGAGAAAACCAAAGGUUUGCAAAGGAGUAUAGUGAGGAGAAGCCCAACAGAGGCAGAGGUGACUGCUACUGAUAGUGAGAAGAGAGAAUGGAUGUACCCUGUUGACUUAGAGCGCUGGUCUUGCAGUUGCAGACAGUGCCAGAUCACAGAUAAACCAUGCAUCCAUGCACUUUUCUUUAUCACUGCUCUAAAGAGGUGA